Molecule: ribosomal RNA, 253 nt
Filed under: uncultured bacterium
Lineage: Bacteria
Description: partial 16S ribosomal RNA
Rfam family: Bacterial small subunit ribosomal RNA
Source: RNAcentral
UACGUAGGGGUCGAGCGUUGUCCGGAGUUACUGGGCGUAAAGCGUGUGCAGGCGGCUCAUUGCGCCCGGCGUGAAAGCCCCCGGCUCAACCGGGGAGAGUCGUCGGGGACGGGUGAGCUUGAGGGUAUCAGGGGCUGGUGGAAUUCCCGGUGUAGUGGUGAAAUGCGUAGAUAUCGGGAGGAACACCAGUGGCGAAGGCGGCCAACUGGUCCGGCACUGACGCUGAGGUGCGAAAGCGUGGGGAGCAAACAGG